Molecule: ribosomal RNA, 583 nt
Filed under: uncultured bacterium
Lineage: Bacteria
Description: bacterial SSU rRNA
Rfam family: Bacterial small subunit ribosomal RNA
Source: RNAcentral
CCUACGGGAGGCAGCAGUGAGGAAUAUUGGACAAUGGGCGCAAGCCUGAUCCAGCCAUGCCGCGUGCAGGAAGAAGCAUCUAUGGUGUGUAAACUGCUUUUGUACGGGAAGAAACACUCCUUCGUGAAGGAGCUUGACGGUACCGUAAGAAUAAGGAUCGGCUAGCUCCGUGCCAGCAGCCGCGGUAAUACGGAGGAUCCAAGCGUUAUCCGGAAUCAUUGGGUUUAAAGGGUCCGUAGGCGGUUUAAUAAGUCAGUGGUGAAAUCUGGUCGCUUAACGAUCAAACGGCCAUUGAUACUGUUAGACUUGAAUUAUUUGGAAGUAACUAGAAUAUGUAGUGUAGCGGUGAAAUGCUUAGAUAUUACAUGGAAUACCAAUUGCGAAGGCAGGUUACUACAAAUGGAUUGACGCUGAUGGACGAAAGCGUGGGGAGCGAACAGGAUUAGAUACCCUGGUAGUCCACGCCGUAAACGAUGGAUACUAGCUGUUGGGAGUAAUCUCAGUGGCUAAGCGAAAGUGAUAAGUAUCCCACCUGGGGAGUACGAACGCAAAGUUUGAAACUCAAAAGUGAAAGUUACGACGG